This is a non-coding RNA of Pocillopora verrucosa, 207 nucleotides long. The record is from RefSeq and is a predicted model, not a curated record. Lineage: Eukaryota; Metazoa; Cnidaria; Anthozoa; Scleractinia; Pocilloporidae.
CUAUUACAGUGAUGGCUUCUCUUCAGAUAUCCUCACCACCAAUGGAAAUUCUGUAUUCGAUAUUAGCCUUCCCUUAGAGGAUCUGCUUCCAUACGACGACAUUCCUGACGAUGUGAAGUUUGACUUUACUGUUGGUCCAAAAAAGGUUCCCGCAGAGAUACCAGGUUGUGAGGACUAUGUGAUGACAGACAAUAAUGACCAAACAGG